This 921-nucleotide ribosomal RNA is filed under the name uncultured bacterium. RNAcentral's name for it is "bacterial SSU rRNA". It matches the Rfam family "Bacterial small subunit ribosomal RNA", at positions 71 to 991 of the family's 1533-position model. The record is from RNAcentral.
UUCGGGUAGUAAUAUCUGGAUGAGAGUGGCGCACGGGUGCGUAACGCGUAUGCAACCUACCCUUUACAGGAGGAUAGCUUUCGGAAACGGAAAUUAAUACUCCAUACAAUCUGUUUGACACCUGUCAAGCAGAUAAAAGUUCCGGCGGUAAAGGAUGGGCAUGCGUGACAUUAGCUAGUUGGUAAGGUAACGGCUUACCAAGGCGACGAUGUCUAGGGGUUCUGAGAGGAUGAUCCCCCACACUGGUACUGAGACACGGACCAGACUCCUACGGGAGGCAGCAGUAAGGAAUAUUGGUCAAUGGGCGAGAGCCUGAACCAGCCAUGCCGCGUGCAGGAAGAAGGCCUUAUGGGUUGUAAACUGCUUUUGUCAGGGAAUAAAUCUAUGUACGCGUACGUAGUUGAAGGUACCUGAUGAAUAAGCAUCGGCUAACUCCGUGCCAGCAGCCGCGGUAAUACGGAGGAUGCAAGCGUUAUCCGGAUUCAUUGGGUUUAAAGGGUGCGCAGGCGGAUAUAUAAGUCAGUGGUGAAAUGCAACAGCUUAACUGUUGAGCUGCCAUUGAUACUGUAGGUCUAGAGUGUAAUUGGGGUAAGCGGAAUAUGUCAUGUAGCGGUGAAAUGCUUAGAUAUGACAUAGAACACCGAUCGCGAAGGCAGCUUACCAAGCUACAACUGACGCUCAUGCACGAAAGCGUGGGGAUCAAACAGGAUUAGAUACCCUGGUAGUCCACGCUGUAAACGAUGAUUACUAGCUGUUGGCGAUAUACAGUCAGUGGCGUAGCGAAAGCGUUAAGUAAUCCACCUGGGGGAGUACGUUCGCAAGUAUGAAACUCAAAGGAAUUGACGGGGGCCCGCACAAGCGGAGGAGCAUGUGGUUUAAUUCGAUGGUACGCGAGGAACCUUACCUAGACUUGAACGCAUU